ACGGCCAGUUCCAGCGAAAGCGCUAGAGAAAAGUGCUAAAGGGUAUAUACAUAUAGAUAUAUAUAUAUAUAUAUUAAGGAUGAGAUUGAUUUGUGUAACGCUGCUGCUGCUUGGCGGCGCACUGUGCAGCGCCCAGGAUGCGUCGCCGGGUGCCAGUGUCGUCAGCGGCGCGGAGGCAGCUGCCGCCGCGGAUAGCCUAACACCUGGCAAUGCCAAUGAUACGGCCGAUGAGAGGCCGCGCAUACCCACACAGGAAGAGUUACUUGCCCAGAUGCCGCCCCUGCAGCCCCUGAACACAGGCAUACCCUCACUGGAUGCGUUCUAUUUAAUGUUCCCGGCUCUGAGCAGCCUCCUGCGCUGGGGCAGCCUAUUUCCGGCGCAGUCGCUGCUCGGUGCCAUGCCGGACACACUGCAGCCGGCCGCUUCGAAGGUGGUGCUCGUGCUGGCGGACGAAGCCAAUGGACACAAGUCGCGUGUAACGCGUCAGGAUGCAACCGCACAGCCGGCGCCAGCUGCAGCGGCACCAACAGCGAUGAACGGACCUGCUAUGCUGCAGCAAAUGCAACAGAUGCUUGGACAGAUGCCGCCUCCGAAUCUGGGCCAGAUGUUGCCACAAGUGCCCGCCGGCUGGCUGCCGGAUGGCUUUACGCUAGGCCAAAUGCCGCCGUUGCCGGAUAACUUUAAUCUGGGUCAAAUGCCGCCACUGCCGGAUGGCUUCAAUCUUGGCCAAAUGGCGCCCGUUAUGCCCAACUUUGGUCUGCGUCCGCUGGAGAGCCUGCUCGGCCAGGCGCCAGUCGCGCCCGCCACCACAGCUGCGCCGCCGGCAGCCAAGCCAGCUAGCGAGUCGGAGCCGGCGCCAGCGCCAGCAGUGGGUCAGGCGCCGCCGGCGGCAGGUGCCGGAUUCGGUGCUCUCUUCGAUGGCAGCAACAAUCUGCUGGGCCAGGCCUUUAGUGGCAUGCCCGCAGCGCCCACGCCGGACGCCUUCAUGGCUGGCCUGCGCCAGUUCUGGCCGGGCGCAGCGCCGCCGACUGGCGACAGAAGCGCCCAGGCCUCCGAUAUAUCGGAGGUGCGCGUCAAGCCGGACAACCACAACCAGGACACGAUCGGCUAUCGGGCCCCGCAGCAGGCGCACGCACAGCUCGCUCAAAUGAAGAUCAAGUCAGCGCUGCAGCUGGAGCAGGAGAAGCAGCGCGUGCCGCUGCUCUGGUUCCGCAUGCCCAGCUCCGAGACGCAACAGUCUAAGUCCACGGAACGUGCACAGAUCGAGUCCAAGCUGCAGGCCUUCGAGCAGCAGGUAAUCGCCGAGCUACAGCAGCUUCAGCAGAUCGAGCGUAUGGCGCGCGAGAUGCGCGCGAAUGCCCAGGGUGAAACGCCCGCCUACAAGCUGCGCUAUCCGCUGAGCCGCACGCCUGUCCACAAGAUCACUCGGGCGGACAUUGAGCGCGCCCUGCGCGACGACUAUGUGCGCCGACUGCUGCAGAAGGAGGCGCAGCGCAAGACGAACUUUAAGCGACAGACGCAGCAGCAGCCGGAGCAGCUGCUCACCAAGGAGGACAUUGUCAAGGUCAUGGCCUAUGCAUAUCGCAUGGCCAACGAAAAUGCCGAACGCAAGGCCAAGGAAGAGCAGUGGGAGCUCCAGCAGCAGCAGCGUCAGUGGACGGAGGAUCAGGCUAAGGCGCAGCAGCAGCAGCAGCAGCAGCAGCAGGCAAAGGAUCAGCAGAAUGACAUGAUGAUGCGCCAGUGGACGGAGGAUAAGGCCAAAGCGCAGCAGCAGAUGAUGCAACAGCAGCCGAAUCCCAUGAUGAUGCGUCAGUGGACCGAGGAACAGAUGAAGGCCCAUCAGCAGGCAAGGGACCGACAGAAUUCCAUGAUGAUGCGCCAGUGGACGGAGGAUCAGGCCAAGGCCCAGCAGCAGAAUACCAUGAUGAUGCAGCAACAGAAUCCCAUGAUGAUGCGCCAAUGGACAGAGGAUCAGGCCAAGGCACAGCAACAGGCAAAGGAUCAGCAAAUGCGUCAGUGGAUGGAAGAUCAGGCCAAGACACAGCAGGCCCAGGAGCAGCAACGCCAGUGGACUGAGGAUCAGGCCAAGGUACAGCAGGCGAUGCAGCAACAGAAUCCCAUGACGAUGCGCCAGUGGACAGAGGAUCAGGCCAAGGCACAGCGGGAGCCGCAGGAGUUUCAGCAACAGAUGCCCAUGAUUAUGCAGCAACAGAAUCCCAUGAUGAUGCGUCAAUGGACAGAGGAUCAGGCUAAGGCACAGCAGCAAGCAAAGGCGCAACAGGAGAUGCAACAGCGUCAAUGGACAGAGGAUCAGACCAAGGCUCAGCAACAGGCCCAGGAACAGCAGCGUCAAUGGACCGAGGAGCAGGCCAAGGCGCAGCAGCCGCAACAGAUGUCUGAAAAAUCCAUGGAACAGGCAGCCGAGCGCCAGUGGGCGGAUGAGAAGAUGCACGCCAUCCAACAGCAGCAGCAGCAGGAGCAACCGGAUGAGGAAUCUUCGGUGCUGGGCGAGGCCAAGCCGCAGAUGCCCGAAAACGCUGGCCAGGCACGGCACAAAGUGGACGCGCUUGGCCUCGGCGGCGAUCAUCGCAAGAAAUCCAAAUCCCAUUCGUCGCCCACCGUCAUAAACUACUACCACAGUGCUCCGGCCGGUUACGGCCAGGGCUACGGACAGAACUACGGCCAGGGCUACGGACAGAGCUACGGCCAGAGCUAUGGCCAAAACUCUGGACAGGGCUACGGUCAGGCCUACGGACAGAGCUACGGCCAGACCUAUGGCCAGAGCUCUGGACAGGGCUAUAGACCGAGCUAUGGAACCAGCUACGGCGGCGGCGGGCAAGGAUCCAAUGCAUAUGGCGGCUAUCGUGCGGCCGUUGGCAACGACGAGAUCGACUCCAUGCUGCGCCAGCAUCAGGUCAUGGCGGCGACGCAUUUCAGACAAUAAAAUCCAACAACAACGACAACAACAAGGAUGAGCAGCUGACCAGCGGGAACAGCAGCUCCUCCGCAUCUCCCCCAACCCCGUCCGCGCCCAGCAGUCAUCACAUUGAGAAAAGUCAGUCAUCAGCAACCGCACCCGCAUCAGCAUCAGCAUCAGCAUCCACAUCAGCAUCAACAACCGCAUCCAUAGCCGACGUCGACGAGGCCAAUGUGGGCGCUCCACUUGGCCUGAAAGAGGGCCUGCUGCGGCCCUACAUGGGCCUUCUGCCGAUCGAGCAGCCGAACGAUCCCUGGACACAGAAAGCCUAUAAUCCGCAUUAUCCUUUGUAUAGCGGCGGUGGCAGCUAUGAGACGUAUCUGAGGCCGCGCCGGGACACGCACAUUAUGGCGCGCAGCCAGCCGCUGCUGACGCCCGGCAUGCUGGAGCGCCUGCUGCGCAUCAAGGCGGAGUUUCAGAAACGUUUUCCCCAUCUCUACCAGAGCAUGCUCAAUCAUCAUACGAAUCAGACGCGUGUCGUGGUUAAGCCGCCGCUGCUGGUCCGUCUAUCCAGCAAUCGGGCUAGGCAUAGCGACGAGCCGAUCCUUGAGCUGGGCGCCGCCGAGCGCGGUCUCUUUGAUGAGGAGCCGGACGAGGAGGAGGAGCAGGCAGACAGUGUCGAGCAGCCGACCACCGAGAAGAACGAGUCCAGCGAGCUUUUCAAUAAAAAGGAUGACCUUGAUGGCGAUGUCGACUAUUUCCAUUUCGAGGAUAACGAUGACAACGUUGAUAACGAUAACGAUAACGAUAACGAUGCUGAUAUUAUUGACGAUUAGAUUAUGGUUAUUUUAAUUAUGCAUAUCCCCUUGGACAGAAUCACUAAAAAUGUACAGAAGAAAA
This 3817-nucleotide unclassified non-coding RNA is filed under the name Drosophila virilis. RNAcentral's name for it is "dec-1". The record is from RNAcentral. Lineage: Eukaryota; Metazoa; Arthropoda; Insecta; Diptera; Drosophilidae.